CCUAGACUGAAUACACUUCGGACUGUAGUUUCAACGUACCAUCUGCUCGUAUGCUUUUCGACAAAGUAUGGAACUGAUGAAAUAUGAGGAGAUCAAUAGCUAAUCGGACAAUAUUACUUAAUCAUGAUCAAAGAAAAAAAAUCCAUGAAAGCCCUUCCGAUUGAUGGAUUGGAUCAAAGAGAAGAAGAAAGUCAGAAAGAACUUGCUGUUCAACUUGCUGAACA
RNAcentral lists this long non-coding RNA (224 nucleotides) under Elaeis guineensis (African oil palm). RNAcentral describes it as "long non-coding RNA (EGUI_LNC012579)". The record is from RNAcentral. Lineage: Eukaryota; Viridiplantae; Streptophyta; Magnoliopsida; Arecales; Arecaceae.